GUGGGUGCAACUCAGUGGUAGAGUGCUUACCGAGUAUGUACAGGGCCCUGGGUUCAAACCCCAGCACUGAAA
RNAcentral lists this transfer RNA (72 nucleotides) under Marmota monax (woodchuck). RNAcentral describes it as "tRNA.Thr". The record is from RNAcentral. Lineage: Eukaryota; Metazoa; Chordata; Mammalia; Rodentia; Sciuridae.